This 497-nucleotide ribosomal RNA is filed under the name uncultured bacterium. RNAcentral's name for it is "partial 16S ribosomal RNA". It matches the Rfam family "Bacterial small subunit ribosomal RNA", at positions 28 to 507 of the family's 1533-position model. The record is from RNAcentral.
GAUGAACGCUGGCGGCGUGCCUAAUACAUGCAAGUCGAGCGAACAGAUGAGGAGCUUGCUCCUCUGACGUUAGCGGCGGACGGGUGAGUAACACGUGGAUAACCUACCUAUAAGACUGGGAUAACUUCGGGAAACCGGAGCUAAUACCGGAUAAUAUAUUGAACCGCAUGGUUCAAUAGUGAAAGACGGUUUUGCUGUCACUUAUAGAUGGAUCCGCGCCGCAUUAGCUAGUUGGUAAGGUAACGGCUUACCAAGGCAACGAUGCGUAGCCGACCUGAGAGGGUGGUCGGCCACACUGGAACUGAGACACGGUCCAGACUCCUACGGGAGGCAGCAGUAGGGAAUUUUCCGCAAUGGGCGAAAGCCUGACGGAGCAACGCCGCGUGAGUGAUGAAGGUCUUCGGAUCGUAAAACUCUGUUAUUAGGGAAGAACAAAUGUGUAAGUAACUAUGCACGUCUUGACGGUACCUAAUCAGAAAGCCACGGCUAACUACGUG